This 334-nucleotide unclassified non-coding RNA is filed under the name soil metagenome. RNAcentral's name for it is "partial contains 5.8S ribosomal RNA, internal transcribed spacer 2, and large subunit ribosomal RNA". The stretch from base 1 to 120 matches the Rfam family "5.8S ribosomal RNA", at positions 35 to 154 of the family's 154-position model. The record is from RNAcentral.
GAUGAAGAACGUAGCGAAAUGCGAUAAGUAAUGUGAAUUGCAGAAUUCAGUGAAUCAUCGAAUCUUUGAACGCACAUUGCGCCCGCCAGUAUUCUGGCGGGCAUGCCUGUUCGAGCGUCAUUUCAACCAUCAAGCCCUGCUUGCGUUGGGGUCCUGCGGCUGCCCGCAGGCCCUGAAAACCAGUGGCGGGCUCGCUAGUCACACCGAGCGCAGUAAUACAUCUCGCUUUGGGCGUGCGGCGGGUUCUUGCCGUUAAACACCCCCUUUUUACCAAGGUUGACCUCGGAUCAGGUAGGAAUACCCGCUGAACUUAAGCAUAUCAAUAAGCGGAGGU